CCUACGGGUGGCUGCAGUAGGGAAUAUUGCUCAAUGGGGGAAACCCUGAAGCAGCAACGCCGCGUGAAUGAUGAAGGUCUUCGGAUUGUAAAGUUCUGUGAUGGGGGAUGAACACAAUGACGGUACCCCAAUAGCAAGCCACGGCUAACUACGUGCCAGCAGCCGCGGUAAUACGUAGGUGGCAAGCGUUAUCCGGAAUGACUGGGCGUAAAGGGUGCGUAGGUGGUUUAGUAAGUUGGCGGUGUAAUUCCGGGGCUCAACCUCGGCGCUACCGCCAAAACUAUUAGACUAGAGUGCAGGAGGGGUAAGUGGAAGUCCUAGGGUAGCGGUGGAAUGCGUAGAUAUUAGGAGGAACAUCAGGGGCGAAGGCGACUUACUGGACUGUAACUGACACUGAGGCACGAAAGCGUGGGGAGCAAACAGGAUUAGAUACCCUUGUAGUC
Molecule: ribosomal RNA, 443 nt
Filed under: uncultured bacterium
Lineage: Bacteria
Description: partial 16S ribosomal RNA
Rfam family: Bacterial small subunit ribosomal RNA
Source: RNAcentral